RNAcentral lists this transfer RNA (72 nucleotides) under Guillardia theta. RNAcentral describes it as "transfer RNA-Ile (UAU)". It matches the Rfam family "tRNA". Rfam says of the family: Transfer RNA (tRNA) molecules are approximately 80 nucleotides in length. Their secondary structure includes four short double-helical elements and three loops (D, anti-codon, and T loops). Lineage: Eukaryota; Cryptophyceae; Pyrenomonadales; Geminigeraceae. The record is from RNAcentral.
GCUCUUGUAGCUCAGUGGCAGAGCACGGGUCUUAUGAGCCCGUGGUCAUGGGUUCGAAUCCCAUCAGGAGCA